Molecule: ribosomal RNA, 468 nt
Filed under: uncultured bacterium
Lineage: Bacteria
Description: partial 16S ribosomal RNA
Rfam family: Bacterial small subunit ribosomal RNA
Source: RNAcentral
GACGAACGCUGGCGGCGUGCUUAACACAUGCAAGUCGAACGGAAAGGCCCUGCUUUUGUGGGGUGCUCGAGUGGCGAAAGGGUGAGUAACACGUGAGUAACCUGCCCUUGACUUUGGGAUAACUUCAGGAAACUGGGGCUAAUACCGGAUAGGAGCUCCUGCUGCAUGGUGGGGGUUGGAAAGUUUCGGCGGUUGGGGAUGGACUCGCGGCUUAUCAGCUUGUUGGUGGGGUAGUGGCUUACCAAGGCUUUGACGGGUAGCCGGCCUGAGAGGGUGACCGGCCACAUUGGGACUGAGAUACGGCCCAGACUCCUACGGGGGGCAGCAGUGGGGAAUAUUGCACAAUGGGCGGAAGCCUGAUGCAGCAACGCCGCGUGCGGGAUGACGGCCUUCGGGUUGUAAACCGCUUUCGCCUGUGACGAAGCGUGAGUGACGGUAAUGGGUAAAGAAGCACCGGCUAACUACGUG